This 459-nucleotide ribosomal RNA is filed under the name uncultured bacterium. Its description in RNAcentral is "partial 16S ribosomal RNA". It matches the Rfam family "Bacterial small subunit ribosomal RNA", at positions 338 to 795 of the family's 1533-position model. The record is from RNAcentral.
CCUACGGGAGACUGCAGUGAGGAAUAUUGGUCAAUGGCCGAGAGGCUGAACCAGCCAAGUCGCGUGAGGGAAGACGGCCCUACGGGUUGUAAACCUCUUUUGUCGGGGAGCAAAGCGAGUCACGUGUGACUCAUUGAGAGUACCCGAAGAAAAAGCAUCGGCUAACUCCGUGCCAGCAGCCGCGGUAAUACGGAGGAUGCGAGCGUUAUCCGGAUUUAUUGGGUUUAAAGGGUGCGCAGGCGGAGGUGCAAGUCAGCGGUCAAAUUGCGGGGCUCAACCCCGUACUGCCGUUGAAACUGCAGCCCUUGAGUGCGCGAGAAGUAGGCGGAAUGCGUGGUGUAGCGGUGAAAUGCAUAGAUAUCACGCAGAACUCCGAUUGCGAAGGCAGCAUACCGGCGCGCAACUGACGCUCAUGCACGAAAGCGUGGGUAUCGAACAGGAUUAGAUACCCCUGUAGUC